UGAUGAAUAUGAAGGAAAUAUUAAAACGAUCAAAUAAAAAAUGUGUUUACUGAAGUGUGUGUGUUUUUUUAAUGCUAAAAUACUUUCUCCAGUAGCUUAAUUCCGCACAGCAACAGUGGCUCAACCAAUGGUUUGAGUUUGGGGGCGGAGCUACUUGUUUAUUCAACUAAUGGCAGGCAGGUGAAACCUGUUUGAAAGCAGUCAUUCUUUCAGAGACACUAAUGCCUCGGAAAUUGUUUAACAAACAUAAAGUGAAGGAAAUUCAGGAGAUAUUCCAACAAAAGUAUCAUAGUGUGUUUAUUGUAUUUUAAAGAGCCACAGCAUUGAUUUUCAGGUCGAUUUUGCGUCUCUCUGCUGGGGUUUAUUUUGAAAGUCCCUCCCAGUCUUUGUUGUUCCUGUUACAGCAAAAGGAUGCUGUUGUUCCAGCACUCUGCUUUUGCCCAGUCAAGCUUUUGAGUCGAAAUGGCUGUCCAGGAAUCCUAUAUGCUUCCUUCCCCUCCAGGACCUGGAGCUCUGCCUUCAGCCAAAGAGAUGAGAAGUGCCUGCUCUUACUGAGUUUGAAGAAAGAGAGAGAAAGAGACUGCAGACAUGGAUAAAAUAUGGAAGAGGAUGGAUCUCUGCUCAAACACGACUACAGAACGUGAAGGCACUGGUGCUGUUCCUGACGAGUCACUAUGCAGUGCGAUUCAUUGGUCAAUUAUGUCACGCCAGCGAACACGGCAGCUGGAGGAACAGGAAGUGUGUCAGCUGCUGAAUCAGCAAAACUCGGCAGCACAAUUUAUAUGGGGCUUCUAUCUGUCUCUCUUUCAAGCAAGAAAACAUUGAAAUACAAAACCGGUUGCGUCAAUGCAGGUCACAGUUUUGUUGCUGUUCAGUUCCACAGUAGAGCCAUUGUUGCUUUUUAACUGAAGCGUGUGACGGCAAACAAGAAUAAAGACAGGUAAUGGUGCAUUCCAGUUGUACACGGAAUUCAGACUCUGAGUUCUCAGUCGGAGUUCUGAUUCUGAAACUUCGAGGUACAGCAACAACCUGGACUUCAGAAUCCAAAAUGUCUGCUCAUUGCAUCAACAGUCAAGGCAGGGCAAACAAGAUUUUGAACUGAAUGUUCCCAACCAUGGAGAGCAACAGUGUAUGCAAACAGGAGCCUUGAAUAGAGUUGGGAAUUGCUGACUGAGCGGAAUGACCAUCAGACGGUGUGGACAGGAGCCAAACCCCGCAGGAUUUUGGUUCAUGGGUUCAUGAACGCAGCCCACGGGGUGCUACUAAAAACAUUCCUAUGAUCUCAGACUGUGUUGUAGAGUUCAGAUGAAAUGAAUGCUCGCCUACAUAAACUUGUUCAAGCUGUGAUGUUCUGUUGUUCCAACAGGUUGCAAAAUGUCACUCAACUUCAAGUUUCUGCCUAAAGUUAGGGAGUUUUUCUUCUAAAAGCAUGAUAGGGCAACAUACAGGACAUGUUAGCAGUGCUGUAGCAUUUAGUCAGCAAAUUCCAUGGUGAUCCUUAAACAUUAAACCCUUAAGCCAAGAAAAUCCGCAUGGAUCUUGGUUGAAAAAGAAACCCAAACUGAGAAGUUGUCUUUUUUUCUUCCCUGCCACCAGAGUUCAAUUUCACCCGGCAACAAUGUGAUGUCAUUAGGAGAGAAAAAAAAUCAGCCAAUCACAGUGCCGGCUGAUCAGCCUGAGGUCACAAUGCUGUAUCCUAGCAAUGGCCAAAUCCUGCUGUUGUGAACUUCCUGAGACAGUCUAGUUUUAUGCAAUCUAGAAAUCAUGUCAGUGGAUUUUGCAAACAUUUUACAACCCCCCCCCACACACACAUCUGUUCACAGAUAAAUCUGCAGAAAAUUCCAGUGUUAUUUUAGGACAAU
Cyprinus carpio (common carp) is the source of this 1862-nucleotide long non-coding RNA. RefSeq lists it as uncharacterized. The record is from RefSeq and is a predicted model, not a curated record. Lineage: Eukaryota; Metazoa; Chordata; Actinopteri; Cypriniformes; Cyprinidae. The transcript has 7 exons.